GAUUGAACGCUGGCGGCAGGCUUAACACAUGCAAGUCGAACGAUGAAACUCUAGCUUGCUAGAGAUGAUUAGUGGCGGACGGGUGAGUAACAUUUAGGAAUCURCCUARUAGUGGGGGAUAGCUCGGGGAAACUCGAAUUAAUACCGCAUACGACCUACGGGUGAAAGGGGGCGCAAGCUCUUGCUAUUAGAUGAGCCUAAAUCAGAUUAGCUAGUUGGUGGGGUAAAGGCCCACCAAGGCGACGAUCUGUAACUGGUCUGAGAGGAUGAUCAGUCACACCGGAACUGAGACACGGUCCGGACUCCUACGGGAGGCAGCAGUGGGGAAUAUUGGACAAUGGGGGCAACCCUGAUCCAGCCAUGCCGCGUGUGUGAAGAAGGCCUUUUGGUUGUAAAGCACUUUAAGCAGGGAGGAGAGGCUAAUGGUUAAUACCCAUUAG
This 440-nucleotide ribosomal RNA is filed under the name Moraxella sp. RNAcentral describes it as "bacterial SSU rRNA". The record is from RNAcentral. Lineage: Bacteria; Pseudomonadati; Pseudomonadota; Gammaproteobacteria; Moraxellales; Moraxellaceae.